This 101-nucleotide microRNA precursor is filed under the name Cebus imitator (Panamanian white-faced capuchin). Its description in RNAcentral is "miRNA (ENSCCAG00000031802.1)". The record is from RNAcentral. Lineage: Eukaryota; Metazoa; Chordata; Mammalia; Primates; Cebidae.
UGAGGCAGGAGAAUUGCUUGAACCCAGGAGGUGCAGGUUGCAGUGAGCCUAGAUCGUGCCACUGCACUCCAGCCUGGGUGACAGAGUGAGACUCCGUCUCA